Molecule: ribosomal RNA, 1016 nt
Filed under: Simplicillium lanosoniveum
Lineage: Eukaryota; Fungi; Ascomycota; Sordariomycetes; Hypocreales; Cordycipitaceae
Description: SSU rRNA
Rfam family: Eukaryotic small subunit ribosomal RNA
Source: RNAcentral
GAAACUGCGAAUGGCUCAUUAUAUAAGUUAUCGUUUAUUUGAUAGUACCUUACUACUUGGAUAACCGUGGUAAUUCUAGAGCUAAUACAUGCUAAAAAUCCCGACUUCGGAAGGGAUGUAUUUAUUAGAUUAAAAACCAAUGCCCUCUGGGCUCUCUGGUGAUUCAUGAUAACUUCUCGAAUCGCAUGGCCUUGCGCCGGCGAUGGUUCAUUCAAAUUUCUUCCCUAUCAACUUUCGAUGUUUGGGUAUUGGCCAAACAUGGUCGCAACGGGUAACGGAGGGUUAGGGCUCGACCCCGGAGAAGGAGCCUGAGAAACGGCUACUACAUCCAAGGAAGGCAGCAGGCGCGCAAAUUACCCAAUCCCGACACGGGGAGGUAGUGACAAUAAAUACUGAUACAGGGCUCUUUCGGGUCUUGUAAUUGGAAUGAGUACAAUUUAAAUCCCUUAACGAGGAACAAUUGGAGGGCAAGUCUGGUGCCAGCAGCCGCGGUAAUUCCAGCUCCAAUAGCGUAUAUUAAAGUUGUUGUGGUUAAAAAGCUCGUAGUUGAACCUUGGGCCUGGCUGGCCGGUCCGCCUCACCGCGUGUACUGGUCCGGCCGGGCCUUUCCCUCUGUGGAACCUCAUGCCCUUCACUGGGCGUGACGGGGAAACAGGACUUUUACUGUGAAAAAAUUAGAGUGCUCCAGGCAGGCCUAUGCUCGAAUACAUUAGCAUGGAAUAAUGAAAUAGGACGUGCGGUUCUAUUUUGUUGGUUUCUAGGACCGCCGUAAUGAUUAAUAGGGACAGUCGGGGGCAUCAGUAUUCAAUUGUCAGAGGUGAAAUUCUUGGAUUUAUUGAAGACUAACUACUGCGAAAGCAUUUGCCAAGGAUGUUUUCAUUAAUCAGGAACGAAAGUUAGGGGAUCGAAGACGAUCAGAUACCGUCGUAGUCUUAACCAUAAACUAUGCCGACUAGGGAUCGGACGAUGUAAAUAAUUGACUCGUUCGGCACCUUACGAGAAAUCAAAGUGUUUGG